GACCGUGUGGAACCUGCUUAGCAUUCUCUCUCUUCCUCUCUCUCUGCCCCUUUCCUGCUUGCUUUUUCUCUGUCUCAAAAUAAAUAAACUUAAAAACACGUUAUAAAAUCAAUGUAGACUUCUGGAAGAGUUGUGAAGGUCGUGCAGUGUCCCCGUGCGCACCUUUCCUCAGCCACCCCUCGUGAACACCUUACACCACCGUGUGCGUUUAUCAAAACUAAGGCCCUAACUUUGGGCCAACGUGUCUACCCUGCCAUCACUUUGUUAGGAUUGCCCCAGUUUCUCUGCCAGUAUCCCCUCCCUAUCCCAGGAUCCAAUCCAGGAUAGCACACGCUAACCCCCAGCUCUCUGUCUCUGCAGUUUAGGACAGUUUUUUCAUCUUCCCUUGUUUUUACGACUGUGGCACUUUGGGAGGGUGCUGGUCAGGUAUCUUGUAGAGCAUCCCUCUGGUUUGGGUUUGUUUGCUGAUUCUCACGACUAGACUGAGGUGGUUGAUUUUGGAGAACGAUACUACAGAGGUGAUGUGCCUUCUCGUCGGAUCGUAUCAGGGUGUGUGGUGUCAAUAUGGCUGUCAAGGCUGACCGCGAUCACUGGGUCAAGGUGGUGUCUGCCGACCUCUCCACUGUGAAGUUACUGCUUUCCUCUUCCCGUGCUCUUUUCUUCAGAAGUGAGAGAGUAUGUCUUGCCCACUCUCAAGCAGAGGGGCGUCUGGUGCCACCUUCUGGGGAGGGCAUCGAAGAAUUUGGGCACACACGAAAAUCAUUACAGCAAUUGGUACAUUUUAGGGGAGAGCUGUGGAGGCCAAUCAAGCAUUUUGUUUCUCCUUCAAGUUUUGCCACGUACGUCUGGCAUUUAUCUACGAAUUUUUCUGCAGGCAUUAUUCUUCUGGUAUUCUAAUGGUGAUUUUGUAUUGCUCUUGGUAUUUCUAUAAGUAUUAAGUGGAAUUUUUGCUGUCUUCUGUAUUUAUUCAGUUAUUUCUUUCCAUCAGUAUGGGCUCAUGAAUAUUUAUCUUACUUUGAGGGUUGUGAUCCCACACUGCCAUUAUUUGUUAGGUUGCUCAUACUGCCCCACAUUUGACUUGUAUGGGUGCCUCUGGUUGAUUGCCGUGCCCUCCUGACAUGCAUGCAUCCUGUUUGUUCAUAUUUUGAGUAGUUUCUCACUUUGUGUUUCCACGAGACAGUCGAGGUACGUCUUAUAGUUUCCCUGCCUGGCCUGGAGGCUUCUCUGGGGAGUCCUGGCUCUGUUUGCUGGGGAUGAUUCAGAAGCCAGGGGCUGGGGCUGGAUGUGCUCCUGCUGUGGGGUGUCCAGCACCCCCAGGAGCUAUUUUUUUGAUCCACUAGGUUUCCCUUUGGGAAGGUGGGCCUGUUUCUGUCAUGGUUUUGUCUGUUCUUGCUCAGAGCUCCCCCUCCCCCGCCUGGCAGAGUGGAGCUGCUCCGGUCGUGCUCCUGGUGUGGCUCCUGGGUUUUGCAUGUUUGUUCUGUCUCCAGGUCAUGGUGGAGGGAUGUGGUGUGCCCUUGGCUUCACAGAGAAGUAAUGGGGUCCCAGCCCUUGUGUGGCUACCGUGCUGGCCACUUCACGGGGGUCUGUUAAUCUGGAAAGUCCCAUCUUUCAGUUCUAGCAAGUUUUCUUGUAUUAUUUUUUGGAUAAUCUCACUUCCCUUUUUCCUCUUUAAAUAUAUAUUUACUAAAUACAUGCUAUUAGAAGACUCAAAGAACUGAAAAAGAAAUGAAAACUUGGCACAGCGUCUGUCAGUGAGCAAAAAAACGUGGUGCUAUUUUCUCAUUUAGCUGCCACGAAAGUCGACUGUGGAUCCUUUUUAGUGAUUUUCAUCUUGGUUUCCUCAUUCAAGCAUCUCAUGGCAAGAGGAAUUCAGGGGAGAUUUAAAAGACUGAAGGUCUUUUGUUGGUUUUUCCAAACUGCAUAGUAUGCCAGCCUGCUGACGGCUCUCUCAGGGGGCUCGAACACCGGCAGGGUCCUGCCCAGGAAAACCCACGAGGGUGUCUUGCAAGCACCCACUCACUGCUUGGCCAGCUCUCUUACUGGAACAUGGCUGUGAGUGUCGAAUUUGGUGAAAUGACCAGCCAAGCUGCAGUGAUACAGGUGCAGGUGUGUGUGGGCAGCUGGCCCUGCACACAGUAGGCAUCAACUCCAUGAACUGGUAGAAGAAAUGAGGGGGGCACUUGCAAGUGAGGGGGCCCCAGGGCCUCCGGCCCCUUUCCAAUAGCAAAGCCAUCAUUGCAGAGCAGGGGACAUGUGGCCCAUCAAGAAGCAGACCUCACACACCUGCACAGGGCCAGCAGCCAUCUCUGAAGUGCAGGAGAGACAGAAUUGAGGCUUGGAGUCCAGCAGACCUGGGUCUGAAUCCAGUUCUUUCCUGGGAGGCCUACUGGGUCAUGUGGGCAAGUCACUUUGUGUCCCAGAGCAAGCUCACCUGAACGGCAGAUGUAACUCGACCCUUCCCCCACACCUGGGUGGCCCGGUUCUCCAAGGAAACUGUUCUGUGCCCUCCGCUGCUCUAGGGUAAGCUUCUCUCCAGGGUGUGUGGCUGCCCCCCUGGAGGGAGCGAGAGCUGCCCUCUGCCCCCGGCCUCGACAUGAGACACCCAGGGCCCAGAGGAGGAAUGCAGAUGCCUGGGGCCACCACAUGGGGGUCGCAGGGCACAACUGGCCUCUCUGGGACAGCGACAAUGUCUGAAAUUCCAUUGGAAAUCUAUUUUCAAAAUUGCUGGAUUAAUCCUUGAAACUUCUUUCUCUGAAUUUCCAUCUCCGUCUUCGUUUCCCUUUCCGGAUGACUUUCUGUAUAUCCCACCGAUCAAAUCGGAAAAAAGGCUCCUAUUUUGUGUUUUCUGAAUGAAGGGUAGGUCUUUUGUGGCAUCCUCCUCUUGUGGAUAAAACCAGCAUCUAUUAUCCCAUUGAUAACUAACUUCCUAAGCAAGUUCCCUCUGCUGCUUUAUUCUUUCUGUUUCCUCUUUGUUAAUUUCUUUUCUUUCCUAUCUUUCCACUUCUGGAUUUCUUGUUGGGGAUUUUGUGCACUACCUGGAGAUUCUUGGCCCUGGACAUCUGUCAGGAUGCUCUGUUUGCAUAGAGGAGGCUUGUUGGCUGCGUCCGGUGGGGGCACAUCUUCCCUGUUGUGACGAAUGUAACUCCAGGGAGAGCAGUGUUCAACCUGCUGAUGUCAGCGAAAACUGCCUUCUGUGCUGCUGUUAAGCUGUUUCUUCGUGUUAGAGUUUGCUCCCCAGCCCAACCUGUUCCUUUCUUGAUGUCUACCUAAGAGGGCUACAUGUGAAAGAUUGUCACUUCUUGUUACAAAGAUGCUUCCUGCCUGGAGAAUGUGGAACUCUCUCAAUGAAAGCCAACAUGAGUUAACAGAAUUAAGGUGUGUGUGACUGCUCGUGCACGUGUGACCGCGUGUGUGUGCGUACGAGUGUGUGUGGGGGGGGUGGGUGGGCACGAGAAGCAAGAGACAGAAUGAGAGGGGAGGGCUCCACGUGGAGGGAGACCCACUAAACAGGUUUACAAAAUGCCAACAAGGCUGGAGCGGGAGUGCUAAUUUGCCGCGAUGCGUGCAGGCCACUGAUAGCAAGUUGGGCCCGUGACAUUCUGACACUGUCUCUCAGGAAAGGGAAGGACACAGAGGACGCCCGUGUAAUUGGAAAGCCAGCUGAGAUCUGAGGCGGCUGAGGACGGGGAGGAAGCAUUCUCUGCACAAUGGCGUUGGUUGAAGGUUGUAUAUAAGGUGGCCUUAUUAAAGUGACAAGGCGAUUUAAUUCCUUUGUGCACGAUGAUUCUACUUCAUUGAUUUACAAUGGGAAGGAUAUAAUUUUGCUAGUGUUGGCAAAAAGCUCAAAUGUCAGCCUUUUCAAAUUACCAUACUUGCCUUGUUCAGGAUGAAUAAUGAAUAAGUCACCUUUUGUCUACAGUUAAAUAUUCUUGAAUAAAUACAAAGAACAUAAAAGACAUAAAUGAUGGCCUGAUUUAUAUUUAAAAUAAAGAUCAACAUUGUGAUAAAUGGUUGAAAACGCUGUGUGUGUAGCAAUAUGACUCUCCUGAUAAUUACAUUAUCGAUGAGGGAGCAGCCCAGGUGUAGACGGCGGUUGGGACACACACCGCUCACCUGCGAGGCCACGUCAGGCUGUGGUCCCUAAGGGCUUCGUGAGGGGCAGCCCGGGGCCCAACAGACCCCCCCCCGUCAUGCGCCCCCAAAGUCCAUGAAGGGCCGGGAGCCCCGGGACCCCGUGACCCUCGGCGCCAGGAGGCACGGAGGCUGAUUCACCCGGGGCCGAGGGUGGCUCUCUGUCACCGUUGGGACAGGUUUGUAAGAAAUGCUGGACGAGAGCAGGAGAGCAGCCUCAUCGGGAAACUUGGCAAAUCUGCGGCUGAACAACUGGCAUACCUGUACGGUCAAAUUCCGUGCAGCCGCUGGUGGGGCAGGAUGUGAGAGCCUCUCCUGAUGGACACAUGUGCCUGCUUUACUCUCACGAAAAAAGCACGUUCUACUCCAGUGUGAAAAGAAAAUCUUAUUUUUAUUAAAAAUGUGUAUAUAUGUGUUGGACUCAUUUUCUCUAGUUUCCUGAAGAAACAGAACCAACAGAAUGCGUGUGUGUCUACAGUUAAAUAGACAUAUAUGUAUACUGUAUACGUGUGUUUGAGAGGCAGAUUUAAGGAAUUUGCUCACAUGACUGUGGGCCUGGUGAGUCUCAGAUGCACAGGGCAGCCUGGAGAUUCUGACGAGCUGGUGUUGUGGUUCAAUGCCAAAGGCCGUCGGGCACAAUCCCCUCUUCUUGGGGAGACCUCAGUCUUAGCCUUCGCCUGAUUGGAUGAGCCUCCCCCCCCCCCCAAUUACGGAGGGUAAUCUCCUUCACUCAGUCACUGAUUUAAAUGUUAACCACCCCUAAAAAGUAAUUUCAUUGAGAUUUCCAGACUGACUUUUGACCAAACAUCUGGGCCCCGUGGCCUUGCCAAAUUGACAUGUGAAAUUAUCACUAUAUAUGUACGACUGAAAGAAAACACAUCAAUGCUUAUUUCUGUGUGAUUUUUCUUUUCUGUAUAUUUACAUUUCCUAAUUGUUUUUUCAAUGAACUAAUUGUAUUUUUCAAUGGAGAACUAAUACAACAAAAUAUGUUUUUUAAAAACCUUGAGUUCCAAAUCUGUGUGAAAACCACCCGACUCUUGGUACCUCCGGGAUCGUGUUCAGCGGUGAUACGUUUGGGUGCUGGACAUUUUCCCUUUUGCUGUCGGGGAGCUCCUUCUGUCCGCAGCGCGCUUGCUGGAGCAUCAUUGCGGAGAUGCUGGAGUCUCCUGGAGUCUGGGGGAGGUCGAUCUGCUUCCCUGUCCCAGCUCUGCCACUGACAUCAUGUGUCCCAUCCCUAGACACACCACUCACUUUCUGGGCGUCCACGUCCUCAUGCAUCAGUGGAGGUGUGAAGAGAGGGAGCGUUUGAGGGUCCUGAUGAUGGUGGGGUGAACUGAACUGGCGUUAGGCGGGCUGAGCUCCGUGGUGCCAAGCCCCGCACGGCGUGUGGAGUUGUACUGAAAACCAGAUCUGGUCUGCGUCCCUCACGCCUUUUGAGCGUCCUGCUGGACAUCCACGUAGGCGGGAAGAUGGUGGGUCCUGAGGCUGCCCCAGCCUCCGUGCGCACGCGGUGCGUUUCUGCACACCAUCAGUGUCACUUAUUUUCUCCCUGAGGGUGCAGCUGCAAAGGAGACUGAGGAGACUGUGUCCUGGCUCGCGUCUGGGAUUUCCCGGGACCCACUGCAGAACGUGAGUGGGGCCUGGCCGCGUGGGCACACCGCCCUUCCACGCGGGCUCGCUGCGACCGCCUCGCGUCUUCUGCGCACGGGGUCUGGGCGUACACGUUACCUUACUGUGCGUUGCUCAUAUUUCUGAUUUACGUUGUAGUUACCGUUCUCUGCAUGUUGAAACUUAGAAGUAGAAAGACCCUGCGUCCAUACUUUUUGCUUUGGAACAGUACAGGGGCCGCUGCCACUCCGGUCAGUUGGCGGAGAGCCACCCAGACGUUCCGUAAAACAUUCCGAUUCCACAGUUCUGUUUUAGAACGACCGGAAACACUACACGUGUGUCCUCAGUUUUCUUAGGAGACCGUGUGUUUCCUACUUUCCUUUGUCCAUAUUUGCAGUGGAGAAAGAAGCUCUGGGGGCCCCCUGUUUCCUUCUACCUCCGCCCCCAGGUCCUGACCCAAGAGGGCCUCAUCACUGGCUGGAUUGUCGAGGCCCCCUUGUGGGGUCUGGAUUACUUCCGCUGCCCAUCUCCACCGCGCUCCUCACACGGCCUCAGACACCCCUGUCCCGGGUGCAGUGAAGAUCAGUCUGCUCGAUCAGGGACCACAGGUCCUGACCCAAGGUUGGGUCGGGUUCCGUUGCACACUUGUAGCUGCUCUUGGUUUUUCUUUGUCGCGCAGAGGCUGUGCACAUGUCACGGCUUGUGACGAUUGUUUAGUGCCCCACCACAGGCAUCCCCCUGCCUGGCCUCCCUUCUGUCCCCACACCCAGCCCGGCUCUGCCACACACAGUGGGUGCCGGUCACAUGAAUGCAGUGGGCACAGGAACCAAAAGGCUGCUUCACGCUUCUCUCUCGGUCGCAGUGCCUCCCCUAGGGGACUGAGGUCAUUCCAUCCCUCUCCUGUGUGAACACACCUCACGCAGAGGGACCGUCCCUCGCUGCUCCCUGCACGCCCUCCAUCCAUUACCUUGAUGUUGCAGACAGACAUGCAGAAGGUGUUCUCUUCUGUGCGAGGCCAUCAUUUACCCUGAGGUGCCCGUGAGGAGAACGUGUGUGUGUGUGCCUGAGCGUGUGUGCAUGUGUAGCAGUGUGAGCACGCGUGUACGUGGGUCUUUGAGUGUCGGUGUGCGUGUGUACGUGUGUCCGAGCGUGCACGUGAGUGUGUAUGUGUGUGCACCAGUGUGAGCGUGUCGGGGGGGGGGGGCAGCGCAUGUGUGCAGGAAGGAGUCACUCACAGGGUCAGGCCCGGCCCAGCAGGAGCACGAGGACUCAGGACGCAGGCACAGACGGGACGCUGCGGAGGGAGGUCUGUGGCCCAGUUGGAGGAGAGGUGAGUGGGUCAUGGGGGGGGUGCGUUCAGGAGGUCUGCUGGGGGCCGGGCGCCCUCAAGGCCCUGGGUUCCUUCUCUGCUCGCUCUGGUGCUGGAGACGGUUUUCCUGGUGCGAGAGCUGGUUUCUCUCGGAAAGCCGAGCCAGCCACAGGAGGCCUGGUAUCUGUGCACGUGUUCUGGGCACCUGUUCCCCCCCUGGGAGGACAGCAGGGGAGGUGUCCUGAGUGGAAGACAGUGCUCAGUCCUCGUUUCCACAGGAGGCGUGGGAGAGUCACCAGGAGCAGAGCAGGACACCCAAUGUGCCAGGUUCCGCACAGGUGAGCCACCAGUGGUCCCCAGUGCUGGCCCCCCGGCUUCUGCCUCAUCCUGUCGCUGGAUGUCACAUCUGGAGCAGGUUACAUCCAUCCUGGGGAAUAUGAACGUGCCCGUCACACGUGAAAACAAUCCUUUCUGCCUCUGUGCCUCUCUUCCUUCCCAAAUGUCGAGCUGCUGUGCAGACACGUGUCACUCUGGCCCGGUCCCUGAGAGAAGAGGUAUUUGGCAGGACUCAUGCUGCUUUCACAGAUGGAAAAUUCGGGGCGUGAAGUUAGGAUGCGUUCCGCUCGCCUCUGUGGCUGCAUCAGAAUUGGACACAGGACAUCCAGCACCGGCUGGACUGAAGCUGUGCCAUGUGACUUGGGUGCAAAAGAAGCUGAACAGGGCGGUGAUUCCUGAUGAAUGCAGCGGUGAGGUCACGGAGGACAUGCGGGCGCGGAGACCGAAGGCCCCGCGUGAGCUUCACCGACUUCCUUGUUGGCAGCUGAGACCGGACCAGCGUGGCCUCGAUGCCAGACCCCUUUACUGCUUCAUUAACCCUCUGACCAGCCCCCGAGAUAGUACAGCUUGUCACCCUCACCUCCCAGUGUGAACCAGAAGGAACAGAGAGGCUAAGAGACUUCCCCACGGCCACACAGUGCAGGAUUCCUAUUCCACUGUCUCCACGACCGCCCUCUCUGCCGCUCUGCCUGAGGCCGGACUGGUCGGAAAGACACCACUGGGUGUGUGUCUCUGAAUCCCCCCAGUUGGGGGUGGGGCUGGUGGCCGAGGCAAGUGGACGCAGUGUUCCGUGGGGGACACGUGCUCGAGAAACCGAGAAGGAGGUCUGAGCAGAGCCCCUGCCCAGAUGGGAGUGGGUGCUGGACCCAGCCAUUUCCCUGUCAGCUCUGGAGUCUAAGACAAGCCCUUAGAGAGCUGUGACUGUGUUUGACUAUGUCUAAUGAUUUUGCAAGAAGGGGGUCAAGAUGGGCACUGGUGUCCUGGGAGGAGAAUGGUGGGGCAAUGGGAUUGAGAGCGAGUUUUCUGCUGGUUCCUCAUCCCAUCAAGACUGUGGGCCCAUCUGAUCAAGACCAUGACUUCCUCUGAACUGGAUCUGCAGCGUGUCCUUGGUUGGCAAGGCUGGAGAACGCCGGGAGCCACGUCUGCUGGGUGCUGGCCUGCGGCAGGGUCCCUCCCUCAAGUGCAGGCUCCCGGGCCCAGCGGCCGGUGCACACUCCCCCUUUCUGGGCAGAACGCCGUCUGUCCACACAUAACCAGCCCAGAUGGAACUCGUGACAUCAUCUCAUGGAACCGAACUGUGCUUGGGGCACUUUGCCCAAGUGAACCGUGGUUGUAUUUACCGUGCUGGUCGCAGAUGCCGCGUCUGAAGUCACCCGGGAAGCGGGCAGAGAGCUGACGGGAGCAGGUACGGCGUGCGUGGGUCCUGCCUGCGGGCUGCACCAGCCAGGGUGUUUUCUGGGCUUCGCGGACUUCUCUGGUAUUCUCACUCCGCUUUGCGAUUUGGAGGUGCCGUAGUCUUUCAUGAGUAUCACUCAGAUGCAGCUAAAACCCCUCAUCUCUGGAGUGCGAACUGGGUGCCCUCGACUUUUCUCUCUGCAAAACGGUGAACCUUUCGUCAUACCAGAUGCAUUCUAAAAUAUCUGAUGUAUUCAGUUUUAAUGCAAAAGAGAUUUAAUGGAAGAACUUUUGUUUUAUCUGAGGAAAAAAAAAGCUUUGUCUACCGUUGAGAGUUUCUGGUUUCAUUCGUUGGACAGAAAGCUGUAAAAUCCCUUCCUUCUGCCAUAAUAGGCUUAAUGCACUUGAAGAAUAAACGUGGGGUCCCGAGCCUCCUUUGUGCCUCACUCAGCCUUUGCUGGCGUGUCCCUUCUGAUCUUUUGUAUACCCAGUCCCUUUUUUCUAUUUAAAAAACCUUCACCCAAAUACCCAUCAAAUGCGACUGCAUUAAAUAUAAAUACAUCCUCCCUCAAUUGUCUACAAAGCUGUGCUCAGCGGCUCUGCCAGGAAAAUGCAAAGCCAACCUUUUAAAGCCUUCUUUGAAAACCCGGAGGAAAAUUACUCCCAGACUCUGUUGAUUUCAUAAAUAAGUAAAAGAAAAAAAAUAACUUAAAUGCAUAAAA
This is a long non-coding RNA of Felis catus (domestic cat), 9501 nucleotides long. RefSeq lists it as uncharacterized. The record is from RefSeq and is a predicted model, not a curated record. The transcript is spliced from 2 exons. Lineage: Eukaryota; Metazoa; Chordata; Mammalia; Carnivora; Felidae.